This 70-nucleotide small nucleolar RNA is filed under the name Tursiops truncatus (common bottlenose dolphin). RNAcentral's name for it is "Small nucleolar RNA SNORD50 (ENSTTRG00000022222.1)". It matches the Rfam family "Small nucleolar RNA SNORD50". From Rfam's summary of the family: U50 belongs to the C/D class of snoRNA which contain the C (UGAUGA) and D (CUGA) box motifs. Most of the members of the box C/D family function in directing site-specific 2'-O-methylation of substrate RNAs. The record is from Rfam by way of RNAcentral. RNAcentral also lists the same sequence under 1 other name. Lineage: Eukaryota; Metazoa; Chordata; Mammalia; Artiodactyla; Delphinidae.
GAUCAAUGAGGAAAGCUAUCCCUAAACGGAUUACCUGAUGAAAAGUAUGUACGGAUUCGGCUUCUGAGAU